This 565-nucleotide ribosomal RNA is filed under the name uncultured Arcobacter sp. Its description in RNAcentral is "bacterial SSU rRNA". It matches the Rfam family "Bacterial small subunit ribosomal RNA", at positions 69 to 651 of the family's 1533-position model. Lineage: Bacteria; Pseudomonadati; Campylobacterota; Epsilonproteobacteria; Campylobacterales; Arcobacteraceae. The record is from RNAcentral.
AGAUUAGCUUGCUAUAGUUGUCAGCUAAGUGGCGCACGGGUGAGUAAUGUAUAGAUAACCUGCCCUCUAGAAAGGAAUAACAGUUGGAAACGACUGCUAAUGCCCUAUAUGCCUUUAAUACAUAAGUAUGCAAGGGAAACGCUUUAGUGCUAGAGGAUGGGUCUGUAUGGUAUCAGUUAGUUGGUGAGGUAAUGGCUCACCAAGACAAUGACGCCUAACUGGUUUGAGAGGAUGAUCAGUCACACUGGAACUGAGACACGGUCCAGACUCCUACGGGAGGCAGCAGUGGGGAAUAUUGCACAAUGGACGAAAGUCUGAUGCAGCAACGCCGCGUGGAGGAUGACACAUUUCGGUGCGUAAACUCCUUUUAUAUAGGAAGAUAAUGACGGUACUAUAUGAAUAAGCACCGGCUAACUCCGUGCCAGCAGCCGCGGUAAUACGGAGGGUGCAAGCGUUACUCGGAAUCACUGGGCGUAAAGAGCGUGUAGGCGGGUAUAUAAGUCAGAAGUGAAAUCCAAUAGCUUAACUAUUGAACUGCUUUUGAAACUGUAUACCUAGAAUGUGG